CCCAUGUCUUUUGAGUACCUUCGUUUCCUCGGCGGGUUCGCCCGCCGAUUGGACAAUUUAAACCAUUUGCAGUUGCAAUCAGCGUCUGAAAAAACAUAAUAGUUACAACUUUCAACAACGGAUCUCUUGGUUCUGGCAUCGAUGAAGAACGCAGCGAAAUGCGAUAAGUAGUGUGAAUUGCAGAAUUCAGUGAAUCAUCGAAUCUUUGAACGCACAUUGCGCCCCUUGGUAUUCCAUGGGGCAUGCCUGUUCGAGCGUCAUUUGUACCUUCAAGCUCUGCUUGGUGUUGGGUGUUUGUCUCGCCUCUGCGCGUAGACUCGCCUCAAAACAAUUGGCAGCCGGCGUAUUGAUUUCGGAGCGCAGUACAUCUCGCGCUUUGCAUUCAGAACGACGACGUCCAAAAGUACA
RNAcentral lists this ribosomal RNA (408 nucleotides) under uncultured Peyronellaea. RNAcentral describes it as "eukaryotic LSU rRNA". The stretch from base 107 to 260 matches the Rfam family "5.8S ribosomal RNA". Lineage: Eukaryota; Fungi; Ascomycota; Dothideomycetes; Pleosporales; Didymellaceae. The record is from RNAcentral.